Molecule: ribosomal RNA, 235 nt
Filed under: Aeromonas veronii
Lineage: Bacteria; Pseudomonadati; Pseudomonadota; Gammaproteobacteria; Aeromonadales; Aeromonadaceae
Description: partial 16S ribosomal RNA
Rfam family: Bacterial small subunit ribosomal RNA
Source: RNAcentral
AAAUUGAAGAGUUUGAUCAUGGCUCAGAUUGAACGCUGGCGGCAGGCCUAACACAUGCAAGUCGAGCGGCAGCGGGAAAGUAGCUUGCUACUUUUGCCGGCGAGCGGCGGACGGGUGAGUAAUGCCUGGGGAUCUGCCCAGUCGAGGGGGAUAACUACUGGAAACGGUAGCUAAUACCGCAUACGCCCUACGGGGGAAAGCAGGGGACCUUCGGGCCUUGCGCGAUUGGAUGAAC